GAUGUACACAUUACCACAUGAAAGCAGCAGUUUAUAAACAGCACAACACCAUACAGCACAAAUUAUAUAUUUGCCACGUGUUAUUAAACUUACAUCAUUAAAGUACAUUAGAAUUGGUGCUAAGGCUGGUGCACAAUAUAUGCAUAUACUUUAAACAAUCAUAAAUAAUGCAGGAGCUUGGAAUAUGAUUGACUAUUCUCGGAACUGCUUUGAUAAUACAAAAGUCAAGGCUUUGUUUUUGGCAUCACCCACUCCAAUUCGUUUUCUUUCUUUUUCCAAUUGAAGCAUUGGCAAGGUUUGUGCCAUGCGCUUCGACUGUGAUUCUUCCUUGUUCGCGCACGGCCAUGAUCAUAAUAACGCAGUGGUCCCUGCCUACUUUUUCAUAUACUUUACCGCAAUACAUUACGUAUGCUUCACCGCAUAACAUGACUGUAUUGCGGCAAAGCUAAUUUUAUGGAACUGACAUUAUGUAACGGAUCUUUUGUCCUUCUGCUGCUUGCAUGAGCAUAAGCUCGAAAAACCACAAAAUACAGACUUGGUUGCUGCUGGUUGAUUUCUAGUUAACAUUUCGAGACGUCCACGUUGUUUACAAAAAAUUCAGUGAAGUUUCUCGCGCUCGGACGCGAUUCAAAAGGCAGUGUGACCACCUAUAAUUAAGGCAGUCAUAAGCGCCAACGAAAUCCACACAAGGUACAUCAACUUCCACAAAGCUUCUGCGCAACGCCAUCAAUAACUGGCACAGGGGCCACCCAGGAGCUGGCAAACGCUGCGAUGACAUCCACACAAACCACGUCGCUUUCCACAAAGCUAUUGGGCAACACGAUCAGUCACAGGCACAGGUGAAGUCCGCAAAACACUACAUGGGCAGAACUACUACGGCCAUACUCAAUGACUUCGCCACAAGCUCUCACAUUUAACGACAUUAAACAGCUACAAUCACUUCUCCACAGCCACGGACACAAGCGAAGACCGCACCAUACCGCACGGGCAGAACGGAAGCACCGAUUCGCGUUCAUCGCUUUAGCGCCACCUAUUUAAAAAUAAUAUACGGAGCCAAGCCAAACCAUUAUUUAGCGUCUAUUUGGGUGAACCCACGGAGGAAGGAGUGGGUGAACCUAACGCUUUUUAAGCGUUCGAACGACCAGGGCACUAUAACGCUUACCCCCACUUUCCACUCCGUCGACCGGGUCGCAGGAACGGCGGCCUUUGCUAAAACUAGCUUAUUGCGCAUUGAUGUCUCGCGUUAUUUAACCUGGGUUGAAGUGACGUGUUUGGAAGCGGACAUGUAAGCCCGAAAGUUGGGUAUCGGUCGUGAGCCAUUCGGAACACGUCUGCAUCGAAACGGGCGCUGGAUUCUGGUGCAGCUGACAACGGCAAUAACGACAUGCAGUAGUGAGGAUGGCACCAGUAUAAAGCAACACACUCCACACACUAAACAGAAGCUGCUGCCUGCUACAACAAGGCCAUUGUGUGGACAUUGGCUGCUACUACAAGAGUCCAUGCCAAGCAUAUCUUGGUCAUCACAGGAGCUCCUAUCCACACCAACAGAAAGGGGCUGGAGCCGAAUUUGCAAGGCUUUUACACCACGAACAAAGAAGCGCAUGCAGAAGAAUUUGCAUGAGUUAUCAAGUCUGCAGAGCACUGUGUCAAGACUGAAAAGAGCUUCAGCCACCAUUCCACCAGCACGGACAAAUUGGCUGAGUCAUCCAGGUAACUCAAACAGGACUUUAUAGAAAUUCUUCGUGUUCAGAUGCACCUGCAACUUCUGAUCAAGCACGGACGACGCUGGCCAAAAGAGUUCAGUCAGUUUGCCCUUAAUCAGCUUCCUGGCCAUGUCAAUUCCAUUUGUGCCAAGUGUAAUUUUUCUUCUAUAAAUGCAAGCUUUUUCAUUGCCCA
This is a non-coding RNA of Dermacentor andersoni, 1896 nucleotides long. Lineage: Eukaryota; Metazoa; Arthropoda; Arachnida; Ixodida; Ixodidae. The record is from RefSeq and is a predicted model, not a curated record.